UAGCAGUGAGGAAUAUUGGUCAAUAGCCUAACGGCUGAACCAGCGAUUUGAAGGAAUGAAUAUCAACAUUUUAUUAUUUUGAAUAAAGUUCUGGCUAGAAUAAUGAUAAUGACAAUUUUCUAUCUAAAUGUCUUGACUAAGUCACGUGCCAGCAGUCGCGGUAAUACGUGAGAGACGAGCGUUAUUCAUCUUUAAUUGGUUUAAAGGGUACCUAGACGGUAAUUCUUGCCUUAGAAUGGGAACAGAAUUACUAGAGUUUUAUGUGAAAAGCUUAGAAUUGGUGGUGUAGAGAUAAUAUACAAAAAUACCAUUAGGACUGGUAAAGGCGAUGGCUAACUUUUAUGCAAAAACUG
Molecule: ribosomal RNA, 353 nt
Filed under: Morchella esculenta
Lineage: Eukaryota; Fungi; Ascomycota; Pezizomycetes; Pezizales; Morchellaceae
Description: SSU rRNA
Rfam family: Bacterial small subunit ribosomal RNA
Source: RNAcentral